RNAcentral lists this ribosomal RNA (465 nucleotides) under uncultured bacterium. RNAcentral describes it as "partial 16S ribosomal RNA". It matches the Rfam family "Bacterial small subunit ribosomal RNA", at positions 28 to 507 of the family's 1533-position model. The record is from RNAcentral.
GACGAACGCUGGCGGCGUGCUUAACACAUGCAAGUCGAACGGAAAGGCCCCUUUGGGGGUACUCGAGUGGCGAACGGGUGCGUAACACGUGAGUAACCUUCCCUUGACUUCGGGAUAACUUCAGGAAACUGGGGCUAAUACCGGAUAGGAAUCCUUGCUGCAUGGUGGGGGUUGGAAAGCUUCGGCGGUUUUGGAUGGACUCGCGGCUUAUCAGCUUGUUGGUGGGGUAGUGGCUUACCAAGGCUUUGACGGGUAGCCGGCCUGGGAGGGCGACCGGCCACAUUGGGACUGAGAGACGGCCCAGACUCCUACGGGAGGCAGCAGUGGGGAAUAUUGCACAAUGGGCGGAAGCCUGAUGCAGCAACGCCGCGUGCGGGAUGACGGCCUUCGGGUUGUAAACCGCUUUCAGCAGGGGCGAAGCUUGUGGUGACGGUACCUGCAGAAGAAGCACCGGCUAACUACGUG